Molecule: ribosomal RNA, 389 nt
Filed under: uncultured bacterium
Lineage: Bacteria
Description: bacterial SSU rRNA
Rfam family: Bacterial small subunit ribosomal RNA
Source: RNAcentral
GACGAACGCUGGCGGCGUGCUUAACACAUGCAAGUCGAGCGGUAAGGCCCUUUCGGGGGUACACGAGCGGCGAACGGGUGAGUAACACGUGGGUGACCUGCCCUCAGCUCUGGGAUAAGCCUGGGAAACCGGGUCCUAAUACUGGAUAUGACUCCAUGACGCAUGUUGUGGGGUGGAAAGCCUUGUGCGGCUGAGGAUGGGCCCGCGGCCUAUCAGCUUGUUGGUGGGGUGAUGGCCUACCAAGGCGACGACGGGUAGCCGGCCUGAGAGGGCGACCGGCCACACUGGGACUGAGACACGGCCCAGACUCCUACGGGAGGCAGCAGUGGGGAAUCUUGCGCAAUGGGCGAAAGCCUGACGCAGCGACGCCGCGUGAGGGAUGACGGCCU